GUGAACGCUGGCGGUAGGCCUAACACAUGCAAGUCGAACGGCAGCACAGUAAGCGCUUGCUCUUACGGGUUGCGAGUGGCGGACGGGUGAGGAAUACAUCGGCAUCUACUUUUUCGUGGGGGAUGACGUAGGGAAACUUACGCUAAUACCGCAUACGACCUACGGGUGAAAGCAGGGGAUCUUCGGACCUUGCGCGAUUGAAUGAGCCGAUGUCGGAUUAGCUAGUUGGCGGGGUAAAGGCCCACCAAGGCGACGAUCCGUAGCUGGUCUGAGAGGAGGAUCAGCCACACUGGAACUGAGACACGGUCCAGACUCCUACGGGAGGCAGCAGUGGGGAAUAUUGGACAAUGGGCGCAAGCCUGAUCCAGCCAUACCGCGUGGGUGAAGAAGGCCUUCGGGUUGUAAAGCCCUUUUGUUGGGAAAGAAAAGCAGCAGGUUAAUACCCCGCUGUUCUGACGGUACCCAAAGAAUAAGCACCGGCUAACUUCGUG
RNAcentral lists this ribosomal RNA (491 nucleotides) under uncultured bacterium. Its description in RNAcentral is "partial 16S ribosomal RNA". It matches the Rfam family "Bacterial small subunit ribosomal RNA", at positions 29 to 507 of the family's 1533-position model. The record is from RNAcentral.